Molecule: ribosomal RNA, 498 nt
Filed under: uncultured bacterium
Lineage: Bacteria
Description: partial 16S ribosomal RNA
Rfam family: Bacterial small subunit ribosomal RNA
Source: RNAcentral
AUUGAACGCUGGCGGCAUGCCUUACACAUGCAAGUCGAACGGUAACAGGUCUUCGGAUGCUGACGAGUGGCGAACGGGUGAGUAAUACAUCGGAACGUGCCUAGUAGUGGGGGAUAACUACUCGAAAGAGUGGCUAAUACCGCAUGAGAUCUACGGAUGAAAGCAGGGGAUCGCAAGACCUUGUGCUACUAGAGCGGCCGAUGGCAGAUUAGGUAGUUGGUGGGAUAAAAGCUUACCAAGCCGACGAUCUGUAGCUGGUCUGAGAGGACGAUCAGCCACACUGGGACUGGAACACGGCCCAGACUCCUACGGGAGGCAGCAGUGGGGAAUUUUGGACAAUGGGCGAAAGCCUGAUCCAGCAAUGCCGCGUGCAGGAUGAAGGCCUUCGGGUUGUAAACUGCUUUUGUACGGAACGAAAAGCCCCGGGUUAAUACCCUGGGGUCAUGACGGUACCGUAAGAAUAAGCACCGGCUAACUACGUGCCAGCAGCCGCCGCCG